GAGUGAUUAGUCCAAACAAGACAGUUGAUUUCGGCUCAACAAAUUAUGGUUAAACCCCAUAAUCACUCUA
Molecule: transfer RNA, 70 nt
Filed under: Xenopus borealis (Kenyan clawed frog)
Lineage: Eukaryota; Metazoa; Chordata; Amphibia; Anura; Pipidae
Description: tRNA-Arg
Rfam family: tRNA
About the family: Transfer RNA (tRNA) molecules are approximately 80 nucleotides in length. Their secondary structure includes four short double-helical elements and three loops (D, anti-codon, and T loops).
Source: RNAcentral